CAGUCCUGAAGAGCGUCCCCUUCACAGCCAGGACAGCCAAGCGAGGCUCUCGCUUCUUCUGUGACACAUCCCUAUUUGAGGAUUCAAACUGUUAAGCCCAAUAUCUUUUAAAACUAUGGAAAGGUACAUGGAUUCUUGCAAUGCAUGCACUGACUCUCCUCACAGCUGUAGCAAGGUUUCUCAUGUAGAACGCUAGAGUGCAUGCUCUUAUUCAUUGGAGAGGUCUGCCCCUUAAUUCAUCCCUAUAUUUACCCUGUAAUUACUAAUACUUUCACUGUGUCUGACUGCAUGACACACGUUUUAUAUAGAUGUAAUGAUUUUAGAUUCAUUGAGGCAUGCACAAAUAAACUCCAGGUGAGAUGGCCUAUAAGAAAUUCCCAUUUGCACCCAACUAAAUUAUUUCAGAACCAAAUAAUUCCUAGGGAUGCAAAGAAGUAUUAACUGUUUAUGGAGAACAUGUUUCACGAAAUUGCAAUUUUGCUCCAUUUGGUAGCCCAGGCUCUUUAUUAAAUUUUUUUUUCCCUUUGGUGAUAAUAUGGUCUAAACUUGAGCUGCCAUGUUCUACAAAUGGGUGCCAGGAGCCAUCUUACCUGUUUAAUUGUGUGCGUCUCUAUGGAUUAUCUUCCAGCAUCUCUGUCAUUUAACUAGUUAACUGCUGGAGAGUGCAUGACAUGUCGGAAUGCAAAGCAUGACCAUAUUCAAUCUUCCUUUCAUAGUAAAUUGUAAUAGGUUCUGUGGAUUCUGGGACACAAAUACAGGAUACAUGCAGAUUAUGCUUUGUCAUCACGCAUAUAUAGACUUUGAAUGAGGACCUAGGUCGUCUUAAAAUCUGUUCCUAUGUGUGUUAUAUGUACAUUUUCAUUUUAUCUCUCAGAUUAGCACCCAAGAAGAGUCAUCUCUAGUUUCCCAUCCCUUGCAGAGGGUAAGACACUGCCCAGGAACAGCUGUUAAAUGCACCCAGAGCUUGGCUAAUGCAGUCUUUGCUGCUUGUGCUUAAAAAGAGGUCUUUCUCUUUUAUAACAAGCCUCUGCUUACAUCAUUAAAUACAGAGAUUAGGCCAUACACAGAUCUUGUGGAACAACAGCAAAGGGUCUUCCUGUACUGCUUUUGCACUUAUUUGCUGCGAUGAUUUGUGUAGCAUAAUAAUUGGUUAUGUACCACAGUUUGAAAAUCUUGAAAUAGUAACUUCUAGAUUCACUUGGAAAAUAUAAGCAAGGUCUGAGGUUUUUAGCCCAGGGCUGGCUAACCUCUACCCUCCAACUGUCCUUGGGCAAGUCCACAUAUGGUUUUAUAUGGCUGUAGGGCAAGGUGUGGACACAGUGAACAACCUAAGUGUAUUUGAUAAGGUGUCCCUUUUAAAAAAGAUUUAGCAGUGCCCUCAUUUAGCCUUCCCUUAUUACAAAAACUUUUUCUGACUAGCCUCGACUUCAGUGUAGUACACGGCUCAGCCAAUUAAAUAUUCGUGUGAGCUGAGCUGCUGACUUAACCCUGUAUUUACCCCUGUAUUUUACCCAUUGAGCCGUUCUUGAAUGGUUUAACCCCAAGCGUUGCUUCCAGCACUGGUUAUCCAGUUCCCACAGCCUGGCAUCCCGCUUUUGAAAUUGAGUUUCAGGAAGCACAGAGUACUGCUGGACAGGGUCGCCACUGAUUGGCUUGAGCAGUCAGCUUUUGCUCUGAGCCGAAUAGUAGCUCCCCCAUUCUUUAAAAAAGCAAUGUACCAGUUUAAUCUCUUCAGGUAAGAAAGUGCUCAGCUUGACUGUAGUGUUCUUUUACAUUUCAGAAAUAUUAAUAUUAAUAAUAAUAAUAAUUUUAAUAUCCCUUCUAUCUGUAUAGCAGGACAUAAAAAGUACAGCCCUGUAAUGGUGCAGGAGAAAAGGCAUUUAGUUAAUCAAUCAAGAACAAUCACAUAAAUUCCACCUACUGCUUAGCAAAAUUUCCAUGUACUGCCCAUGUAAUCAUAAAGAUGCAUGUGCAAGAAAACCAUGUGGAUUUGGCUAGUUACACCUGCCCACUUACAUCCUAUGAGGGAGAUUGUAUAGUCUUUUCACACCCAGUGCUAGAAUAUAAUGUAAAAAAACCCAAAACAAACAACAAGGACUGGGCACUGGCAUAAAGUCCAGGGCAGGUUUAAUGGAUGAAAACAAUGUUUGUGCUCUGUGUGAGCCUUUAUCAAGCUAAUAGAACGUGUCCUGGUUCACACAAGCUCUCAAUGGUAAAAGGUUCCUGGUAAGAUUUGUACAUCGAUUUCUAGCCAAUCAUAAAUACACUUGCUGCUUCUGUCGCAUUGCUUUCCAUUGCCAGUGCUUCUACUUCUUUCACUAAAACAUUUUGAUUUAUUAUUUCAGACCUCCGCAAGCAGCCCUUCAGGCGUGCAGAUGCAGUACUCCGGAAUGCCUGGCGACGCAUCUAGUGCCUUCAUGGCAUGGCGCCCUAUGGAACUUUUCUGUGUUUCGUCAUUGCCACAUUUUGGCUGUUACCAUUAGGAUGGACUGAGUGGAUCUCAUCACAGACAUCAUUCCACAGCACGUUUCAAGGGAAUUGAACAUGCCAGGACACUUCAAAAGUGCCUUAAAGCUACAGUAUUACAGAACUAUUUUUAAUUUCUUUUAUUAUUUAUAUAUUUUUUUACCAUUUUACUGUAAAUAUUUUUUGUAAUGUUCUCUCGACCAAUCAUUUUUGGCCUCUGUGGAGGUACUGUUGGUUGCGAAAAUUGAAGAGGAAAAAAAAGGAAGUGCCUUGUAAGUGUUUAUAAAGUUUGUUGUUUUUUUAUGUAGUUGGAUAGUCAGAACUCUAAUAUAGUCUAAGGUCAAUACUUUCCAUUAUGGAAAGUGCUGAUAAUGCAAGUGAAACUUUUUCAGCAGACCUGUCUGCCACUGAAAGAGUUAACAUAGUGAGACCUGUUUCUCUGUAUCUCUUAAAUUAAACAUUGUCGAGUGUUGACAGGGAAGAGAUGGGUCCAGAGAGAUUAAGCCAUAUACUAUGGAAGUAAGGUGAUUGCACGAUAUGUGCCGGUACUUAGCUGUACCAGAUGUGACAAGUGUAAACUCACGUGCAUUUUUUUUUUAAAAGGACUUUGAAACAUUGUACAUAAGGCUGUGAUUUAGUAGCGUAUAGCCACAAUGUCCCAUCCUUUGUAUAUCAGUAUUUUGCAAUGAAUCUGGCAAGCCCAUUUUGGCCAUCUGUGACUGAUAUUCAUUCUAGUUAUGGGCAUGUAAAACAUGGAGCGCUUUGCAUGUACAGUUUUCUAGGGCUGUAUGGCACAGUGCAUUUAAGAAGUCUAUUUUUGACUGGCUGGCAGUUUGAACUCUAAGGAGAUCUACAUUUCUCUGCAGUGAAAGGUUUAAACCUUUUGUCUUAACCUUUUAUCCUGUCUAUCAGUACAGUCAUUGUUAUAUGCAGAGUUGGUCUCGGUAUAGCAGCCCGGAGUUUAGUAGAAUAGUUUGACCUAAUGUGCAAUAUCACUUAGUAUAUUGAGCCAACGCUUGUCAAGAAUGCUGCCACUUUUACACUCCUUUAAAACGUUUUCAUGUUGGUAAUUUAUUUAUUUCAAAACAAGUGUGUGUAUAUAUAUAUAUAUAUAUCAAGGAUGGCUAAUUAAUGACCAGUUCCAUCUGAAGCAGCAAUUACAAAAAGCUUCAGUGUUUUUAGAGUUAUUGCUCCUUGAGCAGACAUUCCAGUUAGACACACAACUUACCCACUCCCAGUUAGUAUGACCCAUGCAAUCUGUGCACAUGCUUCCAGUGAAAACAGGAUCUCAUAUUUUACUCUUUCACCAGAAGUCUAUAUUACUACUCAUUUCAGAUCUCUGUUGACUAAUAAAGUGCCAAAUAAGACCAAAUUCUGCAGUACCUUCCCUUACCAAUCCAUAUUGGUAAUAACUAGCAAAUGUUACCAGAAACCCCAGAUCUGUGGUGUGAUUUGUAAGACUGUGUAUGUCAAAUUGACCUGCACCUUUGUUUUUUCUUCUUGUUAAAUGAGUUGUAAUAUUUAACUUAAGACGUGGACAGAUUUACUCCUCACUACAGGAAACCAGCUUAGGACUGGCAGUAAUUAGGUGUGCUGUUCAUACAGUUUUUUAUGCUUUUUUAUUUUUUUAAACAAAUAUGGAGACAAAGGGUGAGCACCCCUGUUACCAGCCAGGUGACCUUAUUUAUGAGUAUAAGUUGCAAGCCUUCUCAGCUUGUAAUUUUCACCCCAGUGCCUUUACUACUUGUGAAUAUGACCUCACUCCUUGUUCUUACUUUAAAAUGAGACCAAAACACAAUGCAACUACGGAUUACCAUUUGUAUUCUUGUAUGCAAUGCAAAUAAUUACCUGUGCUUUCAUUUAUUUACUUUCCCCUAAACCAGUCCAUCUAUCAUGUGCAUCCAUGCACCUUAUUCACUAUUCGUUUAAAAAAUACACUACAAUAUCAUCCAUUUAGUUGGGUAAAAUCUUUGAUUCCAGCAGCAGUUCCCCUAUACUGGCCUUUUGGAUUUUUAAAAGUCAACUUUGUUUUUAUUUGUAAUAAUUUUAUGUCUCUGUAUUUUUUUUUAAUCGCUUGUAUUUAACAGACAUUCAUCUGGCCAAACUGCUGCAAACCCUGACAUUGUUACUUAUUAUGGUUAAGCAACAUGUCAGGCUGGCACAAGAUGCCACAUAUUGUGGACACAGUAUUAAUGGCUUUAUUGUUUGACACAGAAUCAGAUGUCUGUCUCUUGGGAAUGCUUCAUUUUUUUAACUUUUUUGAAUUUAUCUAUUCCAUUUUAUCAGCCAGUUUAACGUGUAAUUAUUCCAUUGUAUCAUUCAUGUAUGAAACAAUAACUUGUGCAUGUAAAACACAUUCCUACCCUCCAGCAAUGCCACGGUAAACUCACUGCACAUCCUAUUUGCACCGCGGUGACUUGUAUUAUCGCUGGCAUUGAAGGCGGUAACGUGCCUUUUCUCAGUGUAUUAAUCUUGUACAGUAUAUUAUUUUUUAAUCGAAAGAAGCCAGUACUUGUUUGCUACAGGCAUGCUUUCAGAUUGUCAGAUUUCAGGAAAGAAAAAAAAGCUUUCGGCUCUGAAACUUUUCAUGUUUUUGUAACAAUAAACUUGGAAGGAGCUUAUGGUGCUGUCCGAGUGUCCUUUUGUCUCUUUUCCGGGAUGGCUUGCGGAAGUGGGAUUUUU
Pelobates cultripes (western spadefoot toad) is the source of this 5148-nucleotide non-coding RNA. The record is from the annotation of a GenBank genome assembly. NCBI's taxonomy places the organism in Eukaryota, Metazoa, Chordata, Amphibia, Anura, Pelobatidae.